GAUGAAGAACGCAGCGAAAGUGCGAAACGUAAUGUGAAUUGCAGAAUUCAGUGAAUCAUCGAGUCUUUGAACGCACAUUGCGCCCCCUGGUAUUCCGGGGGGCAUGCCUGUCCGAGCGUCAUUGCUGCCCUCAAGCACGGCUUGUGUGUUGGGCCUCCGUCCUCCUCCCGGGGGACGGGCCCGAAAGGCAGCGGCGGCACCGCGUCCGGUCCUCGAGCGUAUGGGGCUUCGUCACCCGCUCUUGUAGGCCCGGCCGGCGCUUGCCGACACAUCAAUCUUUUUUCCAGGUUGACCUCGGAUCAGGUAGGGAUACCCGCUGAACUUAAGCAUAUCAAUAAGCGGAGGA
Molecule: unclassified non-coding RNA, 346 nt
Filed under: soil metagenome
Description: partial contains 5.8S ribosomal RNA, internal transcribed spacer 2, and large subunit ribosomal RNA
Rfam family: 5.8S ribosomal RNA (bases 1-121)
Source: RNAcentral